GCUGAUGCGUUGUUGGGUAGGGGAGCGUUCUGUAAGCCUGCGAAGGUGACCUGUGAGGGUUGCUGGAGGUAUCAGAAGUGCGAAUGCUGACAUAAGUAACGAUAAAGCGGGUGAAAAGCCCGCUCGCCGGAAGACCAAGGGUUCCUGUCCAACGUUAAUCGGGGCAGGGUGAGUCGACCCCUAAGGCGAGGCCGAAAGGCGUAGUCGAUGGGAAACGGGUUAAUAUUCCCGUACUUGGUGUUACUGCGAAGGGGGGACGGAGAAGGCUAUGUUGGCCGGGCGACGGUUGUCCCGGUUUAAGCGUGUAGGUGUGUGUUCCAGGUAAAUCCGGUUCACUUUAACACUGAGGCGUGAUGACGAGGCACUACGGUGCUGAAGCAACAAAUGCCCUGCUUCCAGGAAAAGCCUCUAAGCAUCAGGUAACAUCAAAUCGUACCCCAAACCGACACAGGUGGUCAGGUAGAGAAUACCAAGGCGCUUGAGAGAACUCGGGUGAAGGAACUAGGCAAAAUGGUGCCGUAACUUCGGGAGAAGGCACGCUGACACGUAGGUGAAGUGAUUUACUCACGGAGCUGAAGUCAGUCGAAGAUACCAGCUGGCUGCAACUGUUUAUUAAAAACACAGCACUGUGCAAACACGAAAGUGGACGUAUACGGUGUGACGCCUGCCCGGUGCCGGAAGGUUAAUUGAUGGGGUCAGCGCAAGCGAAGCUCCUGAUCGAAGCCCCGGUAAACGGCGGCCGUAACUAUAACGGUCCUAAGGUAGCGAAAUUCCUUGUCGGGUAAGUUCCGACCUGCACGAAUGGCGUAAUGAUGGCCAGGCUGUCUCCACCCGAGACUCAGUGAAAUUGAACUCGCUGUGAAGAUGCAGUGUACCCGCGGCAAGACGGAAAGACCCCGUGAACCUUUACUAUAGCUUGACACUGAACAUUGAGCCUUGAUGUGUAGGAUAGGUGGGAGGCUUUGAAGUGUGGACGCCAGUCUGCAUGGAGCCGACCUUGAAAUACCACCCUUUAAUGUUUGAUGUUCUAACGUGGACCCGUAAUCCGGGUUGCGGACAGUGUCUGGUGGGUAGUUUGACUGGGGCGGUCUCCUCCUAAAGAGUAACGGAGGAGCACGAAGGUUGGCUAAUCCUGGUCGGACAUCAGGAGGUUAGUGCAAUGGCAUAAGCCAGCUUGACUGCGAGCGUGACGGCGCGAGCAGGUGCGAAAGCAGGUCAUAGUGAUCCGGUGGUUCUGAAUGGAAGGGCCAUCGCUCAACGGAUAAAAGGUACUCCGGGGAUAACAGGCUGAUACCGCCCAAGAGUUCAUAUCGACGGCGGUGUUUGGCACCUCGAUGUCGGCUCAUCACAUCCUGGGGCUGAAGUAGGUCCCAAGGGUAUGGCUGUUCGCCAUUUAAAGUGGUACGCGAGCUGGGUUUAGAACGUCGUGAGACAGUUCGGUCCCUAUCUGCCGUGGGCGCUGGAGAACUGAGGGGGGCUGCUCCUAGUACGAGAGGACCGGAGUGGACGCAUCACUGGUGUUCGGGUUGUCAUGCCAAUGGCACUGCCCGGUAGCUAAAUGCGGAAGAGAUAAGUGCUGAAAGCAUCUAAGCACGAAACUUGCCCCGAG
Molecule: ribosomal RNA, 1609 nt
Filed under: Salmonella enterica
Lineage: Bacteria; Pseudomonadati; Pseudomonadota; Gammaproteobacteria; Enterobacterales; Enterobacteriaceae
Also listed under: 1 other name
Description: partial 23S ribosomal RNA
Rfam family: Bacterial large subunit ribosomal RNA
Source: RNAcentral